UAGGGAAUCUUCCACAAUGGACGCAAGUCUGAUGGAGCAACGCCGCGUGAGUGAAGAAGGUUUUCGGACCGUAAAGCUCUGUUGUUGGUGAAGAAGGAUAGAGGUAGUAACUGGCCUUUAUUUGACGGUAAUCAACCAGAAAGUCACGGCUAACUACGUGCCAGCAGCCGCGGUAAUACGUAGGUGGCAAGCGUUGUCCGGAUUUAUUGGGCGUAAAGCGAGCGCAGGCGGAAGAAUAAGUCUGAUGUGAAAGCCCUCGGCUUAACCGAGGAAUUGCAUCGGAAACUGUUUUCUUGGGUGCAGAAGAGGAGAGUAGAACUCCAUGUGUAGCGGUGGAAUGCGUAGAUAUAUGGAAGAAUACCAGUGGCGAAGGCGGCUCUCUGGUCUGCAACUGACGCUGAGGCUCGAAAGCAUGGGUAGCGAACAGGAUUAGAUACCCUGGUAGUCCAUGCCGUAAAACGAUGAGUGCUAAGUGUUGGGAGGCUUCCGCCUCUCAGUGCUGCAGCUAACGCAUUAAGCACUCCGCCUGGGGAGUACGACCGCAAGGUUGAAAC
RNAcentral lists this ribosomal RNA (554 nucleotides) under uncultured bacterium. RNAcentral describes it as "partial 16S ribosomal RNA". It matches the Rfam family "Bacterial small subunit ribosomal RNA", at positions 355 to 900 of the family's 1533-position model. The record is from RNAcentral.